CCACAGCUACAACCGCACAGAACAAGUUCAUAAGUAUCGCAAGAUCACUUGGGAUGGCGAGUCUAAGUCUAAAA
Enterococcus sulfureus ATCC 49903 is the source of this 74-nucleotide regulatory RNA element. The record is from Rfam. NCBI's taxonomy places the organism in Bacteria, Bacillati, Bacillota, Bacilli, Lactobacillales, Enterococcaceae.